CACAAUUUCAAUAGGAAAAAAACCCCUUUAACAUUACAUCCCAAUAACAUAACAAAUACUGCACUUCUUUAUUUCAUCCACAAACCCUAACCCUAAAAAAAUUCAUUCAUCCGCCAUGGCCAAAACUCGAAAGUCUCGUGCUUCCCAACAAGAACACCAAAACGACGCCGUUCCAACCCAAGAUCCACAGCAACAAGACGAACCCAUGGAUGAAAAUCCCCCCGUUGAAGAACAACCAGAAGAAGAACACCAAAACGACGACGUUGAAGAAGAAGAGGAAGAAGAAGAAGAGGAGGAAGAAGAAGAGGACGAAAACGACGGCGUUGAAGAGACCGAAAAGGUCAAAUCUGAAAGCAACAACAACGGUGCCGCGGAAGACGAAGGCGAGGAUGAGGAGCCAGUUGAGAAGCUUCUAGAACCUUUUUCAAAGCAACAGUUAGUUGUACUGAUGAAAGAAGCUGUAUCUAAACAUCCUGAUUUAAUUCCAAGUGUGGAAAACGUGGCAGACGCCGAUCCGGCUCAUCGGAAAAUAUUCGUGCACGGUUUGGGUUGGGAUACGACUACUGAAACCUUAAUUAGCGAGUAUUCCAAGUACGGUGAGAUUGAGGAUUGUAAAGCGGUUGUUGAUAAGGCAUCUGGGAAGUCUAAAGGGUAUGGUUUUAUAUUGUUUAAGCAUCGAAUUGGGGCCCGAAAGGCGUUAAAGCAACCGCAGAAGAAGAUUGGGAACAGGGUUACUAGUUGUCAGUUGGCCUCUGCUGGACCGGUUCCUCCUGCUAGUGCUGCCGCAGCUGCUGCACAGGGCGGUGAGAAAGUUAGUGAGUAUACGCAGCGGAAGAUAUUUGUGAGUAAUGUGGCUGCAGAGAUUGAUCCUGGGAAGCUGACUGAGUUUUUUUCCAAGUUUGGGGAAAUUGAGGAAGGACCGUUGGGAUUGGAUAAGCAGACUGGGAAGCCGAAAGGGUUUGCGUUGUUUGUUUAUAGGAAUGUGGAGAGUGCUAAGAAGGCGUUGGAAGAGCCGAAAAAGGUUUUUGAAGGGUAUACGUUGAAUGUUGUGAAAGCGGUUGAUGGGCCUAAGCCGGGUAAAGUGUUUGGACAGAGUCAGGGACAGUUUGGUAGUGGACACGGUCAUCAUGUGGCGAAAAAGCCUAAGUUUGGACAUGGGCAUGGACACGGACAGGGGCAUUUGAUGGCCCCGUCUGGACCGCCUGUUGGGUUUAAUCCAGGUGUUGUUCCUCCGCCUGCAUUGACUCCUGUUUUGGGACAGGCGUUGAGUGCGUUGCUUAAUCAGGGAGGUGGAUUAGGACUUGGGAAUCUAUUUGGUGGGCUUGGAAACCCGCAGGGGAUGCCGCCUUCUGGAUAUCAGGGCGGUGGUUACCAGCAAGGGGGGUAUGGCAACCCACAAGGAGGAAAUAGGUCUCAACAGGGUGGUGGAUCUUACAUGGGUCAGGGUCGAUAAAUUCAACCAUAGAUGCAUCAAUCUUUUUGUUUUGGACUCUGCUGAUUCUUCUGAAGUUCCAGCCAGUCAUGCAAAUGCAGUCUUUUACAUAUGUAGCAAAAAAAAAAAAGUCUUGAUUUGCCUAGGAGAAUAAAAUCUUUGUAAUUUUCUUUUCUACUUGGUUUUAGGGUCUAUUUUAAAAACUUUGUAGUAUUCUAGUUCAAUGUUUCCAAACAAACUUUGAGUUGCUGGUUGGCCUUUCUAUGAUAAAACCCAUGACUGGUAUUUUAAAAUGUUUGACGCACUUCUUUAAAACCUUGUGAAUUUUUUUAUUCUUACUAUGUGAGUGGAUCACCUUUACUUUUGUUGGCGACUACAGAAGCCUUUUAUAAGAUUUUAUUGUUUUGCUGGCUUAUUAUCUAUUGGGCAGAUGUUUGUUUGGUUGAUUUGGCCACUCUUGAAUCAUCCAACAUAGUGGCUGCUUCAGGUUUUGCUAACCUCCGAGGUGGCCGAGUGGUUAACAACUUGGAUAUCUUUGUACAAAGUUAGGUUCGAAUCUUCGCUAGGUAUAAUCUUGGAGGUGGCCAGGGAAAGGUUUGAAAACAUUUAGUCGUUCAUGGGAUACCAAGUUAGGCCGCCUACAUCUGAGUCAAAAACACCUUGCCUUUGCUGGGUUACCUGAGAACCACCUCCAUGGUGGCAUGGUGGUUAACAACUUAUAAAUAAGUCAAAAAAGACUUGCCUGCCUACUAGAAACAACAUAGUAUAACUUAAAUGAAUGGCUAAAUAUGUUAAUGUUUUACAUUUCAACGAGUGUAUGAUGUUUUCCUGUUACUGUAUGGUAGAAUUGGUUUGGUUAUUUAAUAUAUUGAUCAAUUGAUGUCUUGUAGCUUCAAAUUGUGACUUCAAUACCCCUUCAGAAAUGGCUUGGGAAUCUACAGGCCAAUUGCAUCAAAAUGUCUAUAUAUGGGGAGGGGAUUCAGUAGCCCUAUAUAUGACCAUGUCACGAUAUUUAUCCAAUUUUAUAGUCUCCAUGGAGCUAAACUCUUUUAAAGUAGAGCAAUAUAAUGGUUUUGCAUUAAAUAGAUGCUUGGACAAUGAUUACGACACUUUCUAAUUGAACUGCAUUAAAACAAACGGGUCAACUCUUUUCCACAGAUUUAGUGAAGUGGGCUCAAAACAAACAUAAUUAACAAAAAUAAUGCGUCAAGCACAUUUGAUAUCUAUCUACCUUACUCAUUAGUAAAUUUAAAUUACAGCCAGCGCCAGGAUUUCUACUUUUGACUAGCAGCAAUAGUCAAACACUAAACUUGAAGGAUUAAUUCAUUUAAUCAUCAAAGGAUAAGGUUGAUUAAAGUGGCAGGGAAGCUUAAUAGCUAUAAAGCACCUAGGCGGUGAAGAUACUGAGAAACAUGUUAAGCUAGAACAAGGGGGAAUAGCUGGGAGUUCGGCUAAAUGUUGGUGUCGGCGGGCGUUUCUUCCGAGACCAACCAGAUGUCUGCACUUGAGACUCGAUGGCCGACCAUAUUUAAUCUUGUUGGUGGGGUUGAUCUGAAAGCAAUGGAAAGGUGGCAGUUGAGGACCUGCCGUUUUGCGUGCAGAUGAUAAUGCCUCAUUUUUGUUGAGACCAACAAAUUGACAAAGAUACACUACAUGUUCAGACCAACAUAUGGACGAAGACCACAAUAGACUGAAGCUGACCCGGACAUUUGGGCAUAAGAAGUACCAUGUAAUGUUACAAGUUAGAGUUUUAGUGUAUCAACUAUAUUGUGUAAUCAGUGAGCUACUAUCUAGCGAUUCCACCUUUGAAGGUGGUUUGGGAUUUACAAUUUUUCAGGUGCUUGCAGCUUAUUGCACUUUAAUAAAAUGAGAUAAGCACCACCAUCUGCAAUGGUUAGGUUAA
RNA transcript from Erigeron canadensis, 3335 nucleotides. It is a transcript of the gene named UBP1-associated protein 2A-like, with no coding region annotated. The transcript is spliced from 3 exons. NCBI's taxonomy places the organism in Eukaryota, Viridiplantae, Streptophyta, Magnoliopsida, Asterales, Asteraceae. The record is from RefSeq and is a predicted model, not a curated record.